RNAcentral lists this unclassified non-coding RNA (292 nucleotides) under uncultured archaeon. Its description in RNAcentral is "RNaseP_arch". The record is from RNAcentral.
UGGUGAGGUGGAGGGAUUACGCACCCUUUGGGUGUGAGGAAGUUCCGUCCACUGUAGGCAAUUUGCAAAACCGUAAGGUUUUGAAAAGCUGGUUGUCGAUUCGUCGACAACCGGAAAGGCCUCUAAGGGGCCAGGUGGCAAUACAGAAACCAAACUUCCUCUAGCGUGAAGGCUAUGAAACGAGCUGCGAAAGGAAGAUGAAAUGCGUGUCGCCUUGCCGUUGACAGUGCAAGAGUUUAUCUCGCGAAGUCAAAUAUCCCGUAAAACCUAAGGCGGACUAACCACCUCACCU